Molecule: non-coding RNA, 115 nt
Organism: Paramuricea clavata
Lineage: Eukaryota; Metazoa; Cnidaria; Anthozoa; Malacalcyonacea; Plexauridae
Source: the annotation of a GenBank genome assembly
GGCCUCGUAGCUCAGUUGGCAGAGCAUUGGACCACAGAAUAGAAUAUAUUUUAUUUUCUAUUCUGUGAUUGGACUAGUAUCCCAAAGGUCGCGGGUUCGAUUCCCACCGUGGUCA